GCCGGGAACAAUGGCGCAUUUCUGUAGUCCCGGCUACUUGGGAGGCUGAGGUGGGAGGAUGGCUUGAGUCCAGGAGUUUUGGGCUGUAGUGCACUAUGUUGAUCGGGUGUCCGCACUAAGUUCGGCAUCAAUAUGGUGGCCUCCCAAGAGCGGAGGACCACCAGGUUGCCUAAGCGGGGGUGAACCAGCCGAGGUCAGAAACGGAGCAGGUCAAAACUGCCGUGCUGGGCCAGGCGCAGUGGCUCAAGCCUGUAAUCCCAGCACUUUGGGAGGCUGAGGCGGGUGGAUCACUAGGUCAAGAGAUCGAGACCAUCUUGGUCAACAUGGUGAAACCCUGUCUCUA
Callithrix jacchus (white-tufted-ear marmoset) is the source of this 343-nucleotide unclassified non-coding RNA. It matches the Rfam family "Metazoan signal recognition particle RNA". Rfam says of the family: The signal recognition particle (SRP) is a universally conserved ribonucleoprotein. It is involved in the co-translational targeting of proteins to membranes. The eukaryotic SRP consists of a 300-nucleotide 7S RNA and six proteins: SRPs 72, 68, 54, 19, 14, and 9. Lineage: Eukaryota; Metazoa; Chordata; Mammalia; Primates; Cebidae. The record is from Ensembl.